CCUGGUUGAUCCUGCCAGUAGUCACAUGCUUGUCUCAAAGAUUAAGCCAUGCAUGUCUAAGUACACACUUUGGUAAAGUGAAACCGCGAAUGGCUCAUUAAAUCAGCUACAAUUUAUUAGAUCGUACACUGUUACUUGGAUAACUGUGGGAAUUCUAGAGCUAAUACAUGCCGAGAGUCUCUGCUCUUCGGGGCAGAGCGCAGUUAUUAGACCAAAACCAGCCGUAUUCUUCGGGGUACGCUCUUUUGGUGACUCUGGAUAACCUUCAGCCGAUCGCAUGGCCUCGUGCCGGCGACGUAUCUUUCAAGUGUCUGCCCUAUCAACUUUCGAUGGUACGUGAUAUGCCUACCAUGGUGAUAACGGGUAACGGGGAAUCAGGGUUCGAUUCCGGAGAGGGAGCCUGAGAAAUGGCUACCACAUCCAAGGAUGGCAGCAGGCGCGCAAAUUACCCACUCCCAGCUUGGGGAGGUAGUGACGAAAAAUAACAAUGCGGGACUCUAAGAGGCCCCGUAAUUGGAAUGAGUACACCUUAAAUCGUUUAACGAGUAUCAAUUGGAGGGCAAGUCUGGUGCCAGCAGCCGCGGUAAUUCCAGCUCCAAUAGCGUAUAUUAAAGUUGCUGCAGUUAAAAAGCUCGUAGUUGGAUCUGGGGCUUGAGGUCGCUGUCUAUCGUUUCGGCGAUGACGGUGAUGCUCAGCUCUGCUUGCCGGUGACUGUUGCGGUGUUCUUCACUGAGCGCUGUAGCAGCACGGCACGUUUACUUUGAAAAAAUUAGAGUGCUCAAAGCGUGCUUGUCGCUUGAAUAAUGUUGCAUGGAAUAAUGGAAUAGGACCUCGGUUCUAUUUUGUUGGUUUUCGGAGCUUGAGGUAAUGAUUAAGAGGGACGAACGGGGGCAUUCGUAUUGCGGUGUUAGAGGUGAAAUUCUUGGAUCGCCGCAAGACGGACUACUGCGAAAGCAUUUGCCAAGAACGCUUUCAUUAAUUAAGAACGAAAGUCAGAGGUUCGAAGACGAUCAGACACCGUCCUAGUUCUGACCAUAAACGAUGCCGACCAGCGAUCCGUAGUGGUUGCUUUAUGGAUCCUACGGGCAGCCUCCGGGAAACCAAAGUAUUUGGGUUCCGGGGGAAGUAUGGUUGCAAAGCUGAAACUUAAAGGAAUUGACGGAAGGGCACACCAGGAGUGGAGCCUGCGGCUUAAUUUGACCCAACACGGGAAAACUCACCCGGUCCGGACACCGUAAGGAUUGACAGACUGAUAGCUCUUUCUUGAUUCGGUGGAUGGUGGUGCAUGGCCGUUCUUAGUUGGUGGAGUGAUUUGUCUGGUUAAUUCCGAUAACGAACGAGACUCUAGCCUGCUAAGUAGUG
This 1362-nucleotide ribosomal RNA is filed under the name metagenome. Its description in RNAcentral is "SSU rRNA". It matches the Rfam family "Eukaryotic small subunit ribosomal RNA", at positions 3 to 1360 of the family's 1831-position model. The record is from RNAcentral.